UUGCAUGGAUCCACAAGUGGUUGUUUCGGCGCUCUUCUCUCUGUAUACAUGACGAUCUUGUGUGCGCAAGUGUCUCUCUGCAUUUGACGUGUGUGGUCACAACAAAUAACCUGUCUCUUGUGUAAGUAUUUUUCUCUCUCAUCGUCACUUUAUUGAUGCUGCUAAGUGACUUACCGAGAGAUAUACCGAGCGAAAAUCUGUUGUGAUUUUAUCAACUGCGACAAACGGAUACAUUUACACGGAGUGUACGCGAUCACAUGUAUGGUGCACCGAUGGCAGUUUGUUGCUUUUCCA
Long non-coding RNA from Copidosoma floridanum, 294 nucleotides. The record is from RefSeq and is a predicted model, not a curated record. NCBI's taxonomy places the organism in Eukaryota, Metazoa, Arthropoda, Insecta, Hymenoptera, Encyrtidae.